GGAGGGGUGGCCGGGUGGGCGGAGCUAUCCUGAGGGAGUGCCAUUCACAUGCUCCUCGGGCACUGACCACUGCUCUGUAGGAGAGUCCUGCUGCCUCCGUCUCUCCUCCACUCCUUUGGGGGUCAAGGUCACACCUUGGCCUUUACAUCUGGACUCCCCCAGUCUGCUCUCUGCCGUCAGCAGCCAGCCUUGGUGGAGCUGCCUACCGGUACUUAUGCUCCCUGGCACCUGGACAUGACCCUGCCUAGUCCCCCAUACCGGCUUAUUCUGUUUUGUUCUUCGGGGGCCAUAUGGCCCUACCAGCUCUCUGCGGAGGGUUUUCUUACACAGAUGCAUGCCAGGUUCCCAGUCUCUUGCAGAGGAACGCUGGCCACUAGGGAGAAUUGAGACCGUCUUAGAGAUGAAUGAAUGAAUGAAUUCACACACAUUUGCCCAUAUCUCCUACACGCCUGGCACUGCGCUAGGCCCAGGAGGAGGAAGGUGGAAGUGGCUUGAGCCAGGUGAGCAUCUUUGCGGAACGCAGGGCUGCUGAAAAGCUCUCCAUGCCAGAGCUACCCUCCGGGUGGCUUUGCUGGUGAAGGGCCGGCGGCACAUCUGGCGGACAGGUGCGUAUCGUCCAGGGAAGUCAUCUCCUCAGACUUCUCUAAGACACGGCCAGGAGGUGGAAGACUGGACUGUCCCAUCCCAAGUGCCAGGUCAUCCGUUGAGCACAGCCACCCACAUGCACACAAAGUCCGCAGAGCAGACAAGCUGGAAGAACGCCUCUGUUCCCCAAAAACUAAUGUCACCCAGGUCGGUCAAAUACCGAGCCCGGGAUUAAUGUCCAACCAACACAUGCCAAGUGAUUAAGGCAGGCCCCGGAGACUAGGAACUCACAGGCAGGGAGGGCCUCUCGCAGGAGCACCCGAGAUGACAUGAGUGAGGGAGGACCGGGUGCUCGUGUAUAUACAGCCUACAGUGUCUCAGGAGGAGCAGAGAGGAGUGCGCAGGCUGGGUGUGCUGGUGUGCGUGCAGGGAAGCAAGGGCUUUGCACUUCACUGAAGAGCAACUAAGUGAGUUCAAAUCAUGGUUUUUGAAAGCCUUUCCCUCCUCCUGGGCUGAGCGGGUCCUGGCUUGGUCCUUGACCUCAUCAUGCUGUUGGUUCUGCACACACCAGAAGCCGCUAGGAAGGAGGAGACCACUGCGGGGCCGUUGAAGGCACCUUUUGUUCUAAUCUGAGUGGUGGGAGGAUUUUCUUGCUGUGACCCACUGUCCGCUGAUUCCUAAAGGUGGAACAAGUUGUGUAAGAGAACGAGUCCUUCCCACCCCCAGGGAAGCAGGGUAGACAUGGUUGAAUAGACAGCUGCCAAUCUGAACUUAGAGGGGCAUCCCUAAUCCACAGCAGGGACUCAGGCGUGGGGGAACCCGGCCCCUUCUUCCCACCUCUUCUGCCUCUGGGAUGUCCCUGGAGGAUGUGCGUUCAGUGGGGAGCUGGAGGGAGCCUGGAAUUUCAGAUGUUGCCAUUUUCCAUGUGAUACAGCAUGCCAUACAUUUCUAGGUGCAACUUGGGUCUUCCUUGCUUGUGAAAAUGUAUCUUCGCUUUGCUGAGCCUAGCAUGGCCGGGUGAGUUAUGGGGAGGAGAAGCAGCCGGACAAGGUGGUCUUCACCCUGCAGGGCACCAGAGGCAGGAGCCGAGGCUUGCACUGAUGAAGGGACUGGGAGCACCGAGGCCAGAGGUGUGGCAACGCCAGCUGGGGAAUUCCAGUGACCACACCCUCCUGGCUGAGGUGGGAAGAGGCAGGCUGCUCCCACGAGUGGGCAGUUCUUGGCUGCUGCUUCUCAUCAGCUUCCCUGUGAGAUUUCAUCAGCACCUCCUCCCUCUCCACUGCCUGAAGAAUCCAGGGCCGCCAAUCAAAACGACAACAGGAUGAGGAGGCCUCUAGCCCUUGCUUCACUGUUUGUCCUUUGGUCCGGAAAGGGGUCUCGUGUCUGAGCAAGAGGCACCGUCUCGCCUGUUCGGAAGAGUCUGUGUGAGUGUGUGUGUGCAAGGUGUGUGAAUAUGUGUAUGAGGGUGUGUGAGUGUGCGUGUGAGUGGAGGAGCAGCGGGGGCUGGGGUGUCUCCAGAGGGCGACAGAGCAUGGGCCUUGGGGGCUCUGGGAACCCCCUCUUGAGGCCCACAUUUGGUGUGGAGAGAGCUUAGGGGAGGUGUGGGCCUCCAGGGAAGUGGCUGGGCUCUUCAUUUCCCUCUGACAGCUCAUCAGUAUUGAGGUCACACCAUUUCUCAGGUCAGGAUGGGGAUUGGGUCCCACACUCACACACUCCCAGCCCGAGACCUCUUCCCUACUGCGGUCCCAGAUGCCACAGCACAGACACACACCACCCACGCUGUGGAUGGUUUCUUCCAAAUUCCUGACCCACAGAUGUGCAUCAUAAAAUGGUCAUUUGACACCACUAAGUUAGGGGCUGUUAUUUGUGCAGGAAAACAUAACUGGGGCCCGUCUGCACCUGUAUCUCUAGGGCAAGGCUCCCCCUGAGCUCCUGGCAUGUGCACCUUACUGCCUACUGGAUGCCGACUCUUCCCAAAGUCCUAAAGCUCACAGAAUCUUCCCCAAGUGCAUCAGCCCAGAGCGUCCAAGGUGAAGCCAUUAUCUUCUCGUCCAAAUCUGAAACCACUGGUGACCUGGACAAAAUUGGACCCAGUGAGGCCUAUGACCACCUGGCAGGAGGGCACGUGCGGGCGAGAUGGGUUCCAGCUGUCCAUGUAUGUGCUUGACCCAUUUUGUUGUUGUUGUUUUGUUUUUUUUUGUUUGUUUGUUUUUUGAGACAGGGUCUGGCUCUAUCGCCCAGGCUGGA
Non-coding RNA from Macaca mulatta (Rhesus monkey), 2832 nucleotides. The record is from RefSeq and is a predicted model, not a curated record. Lineage: Eukaryota; Metazoa; Chordata; Mammalia; Primates; Cercopithecidae.